CAUACAUUGCCUCCUAGGCUUG
This 22-nucleotide microRNA is filed under the name Oryza sativa (Asian cultivated rice). Its description in RNAcentral is "osa-miR2091-3p". The record is from miRBase by way of RNAcentral. Lineage: Eukaryota; Viridiplantae; Streptophyta; Magnoliopsida; Poales; Poaceae.